AUUAGAAACCAAAAUGUAGCGUCAUUGUUGACAGUGUCUUAACGCAAAAAUAAAACAAUCAUGGAACUUGGACUUACCAGCAGCCGUGGACCCAAAAGAAAAUCACACACAACGAAAAUCACUGCAGCCCACCCGGUGCUGUACAAAAGAAAGUGUGAAAACGACCCACCACCUGAGGUCCCAGGGCCACUGGUACGUCCUCCGUUCACUAAAAGAAAACACAGAAAAAUAUGUUAAAAGAAUAACAGGACACUGAGCGUCAGGCUCGCUACAGAUGAUACAAAGAACUAAAACACACUUUAAUAGCUUUAAUAAAAGAAACCACACACACACACACACACACACACACACACACACACACACACACACACACACACAGGAAGGCUUGUGCCCCGCGGGUCCACUCGUACUGGUAGUAAUGGUCCCAGCCUCAAUCGCGAGCUGGUCUGGCUCCCCACAGGCUAAGACCAGCAACGGGGGCAAUUUAAAAUCCCCGGCACGACACUCGGGCAAAGAAUUGCUUCAGCCCGAUCACAGAAGCGUGGGCACACGCAACAAUCCAGAGAUAAAAUAAAAUAAAACCAGGCGAACCAGGAAAUGGUAGGCCUACUUAAUAAAACCAAAUAAGACAAGACAAGACAAGACAGCAGGCUCCACUGAGGAGGAGCCCUCACAACAACGGCUAGGCAGGUGUCUUGAUUCUUCACUUAAGGCUGUGUGAGUUGCCACGGAGGUGAAGGCAGCGAUCACGCCCUAAAACAGACAAAUAUAACCUUAGCCUCUGGUAGCUGUGAAUGCUAAUAAAAAUAGUUUGAACAGCUUACCCCAGGACCGGAGGCGUUAUACUCUCACUGGUGGGGGAAAUCGCACAAGCACCUCUCUCCGCAACGCCGGAAUAAAACAACCUGCCGCGCUACAACAGGCCGCAAAAACUAUUACUAUACAUUCCAAUACUGAAAGGGAAUCUGAGGUUAAGCGAGAGCAUACCUGUGGCUGUCAUAUGAUCUACUCUUGCCGAUCAGUCCGUCGCAGAGUGUCAGCAUUUACUGCUGCUUUGCGCUGAAUGCAUGGAAGGAAUAAUCCAAAGAAGCACCGGCUUAGCUUUAUACCUGGUGCCAGCCUGCAAU
Long non-coding RNA from Oreochromis aureus, 1127 nucleotides. The record is from Ensembl. NCBI's taxonomy places the organism in Eukaryota, Metazoa, Chordata, Actinopteri, Cichliformes, Cichlidae.